ACACGAGGUUUGACGCUAUCGGUCAAGAUCAUUACGAUCGUAUGUCUGCGUAUGUUGAAAAGCGUGAUGCUUCUACUGCUUCUACUGUAUCCCGAUCUUCAAGACAAACUAUUUGUGCUUCAUCCUGACCAUGAAAGUGAACAGCGUAGGAUGCUUAUCCGAAUUUUACAAUGUGGCCGUUCAGACUAUUAUCAACGAGCUGCUACGGGUUACUUGGCUAUUUGCUUUUGUUUUGACGAAGAAGUCAAUAGACUUUUAAAAGAUUUUUUCCAGUAUGUAUUUUUAUAAUUCUUUAUCCUUUGCACAUUGAUACAGUAGAACAGUCAGUAAGAUUGAUUUUUUUAUUUCAGAGUGGCCGUUAAUAGUUUCUUCAAUUAAAAUGUUUUAUUCAAUAAAAUUUAUUUAAGAAUA
Molecule: long non-coding RNA, 411 nt
Organism: Xenia sp. Carnegie-2017
Lineage: Eukaryota; Metazoa; Cnidaria; Anthozoa; Malacalcyonacea; Xeniidae
Exons: 2
Source: RefSeq, a predicted model, not a curated record